This 189-nucleotide ribosomal RNA is filed under the name uncultured bacterium. RNAcentral describes it as "partial 16S ribosomal RNA". It matches the Rfam family "Bacterial small subunit ribosomal RNA", at positions 338 to 524 of the family's 1533-position model. The record is from RNAcentral.
CCUACGGGAGGCAGCAGUAGGGAAUAUUGGUCAAUGGACGGAAGUCUGAACCAGCCAUGCCGCGUGCAGGAAGACGGCCCUACGGGUUGUAAACUGCUUUUGUACGGGAAUAAACCUACCAACGUGUUGGUAGCUGAAUGUACCGUAAGAAUAAGGAUCGGCUAACUUCGUGCCAGCAGCCGCGGUAAU